This is a long non-coding RNA of Hippopotamus amphibius kiboko, 980 nucleotides long. RefSeq lists it as uncharacterized. The record is from RefSeq and is a predicted model, not a curated record. NCBI's taxonomy places the organism in Eukaryota, Metazoa, Chordata, Mammalia, Artiodactyla, Hippopotamidae. The transcript is spliced from 3 exons.
CAGGACGCAGGCAGAGUGGGUGAGGGCAGUGGGGACGUGGGCUCCUCCUCCCUGAGCAUCACCUGUCACCUUGCACAGCCUGCCCACCUCCCUCUGCGUCCUUAAUUUGAGGGGUGAGUGGGGAGGAACCGGCCUUGGCUGAUGAGGUGAAGAAGGGGUUCUCGGAAUUUGUGCAAACAAAUUUCCUCUGCUCGUGAAUUUCGAAAAGCCAACAAGCUGUCAAAUGAGCUGAUAUCAAACUCAGGGCCCCUGGGGACUCAUCAAGCCUCUGCCAGUGCCUUGUAGUUCAUUCUCAUUUCCAUCAGGAGGAAUGGCCACAGCCCAGCACAGUUCUGUGCAAGUGGGUGUGUGUGUUUAACAAUGAGACUUGGCCCCCGAGGAAAGAAGUUGCCAACACAUGCAGAUCUCCACUAGCUUAUGUCACCUCUGCCUGCACAGCACCACAUGCGUGGCCCCGCCUGCCUCCCAAAAUAAUGGGAUAAUUGGGUGAAACAUGCGUCACCCCCACCCCAUAGAGAGAGCACGUCAGCUGGUCUUUGUGGAAUCUACGGGGAGCAGGCCGAGCCAAACACCAGUGUCUGCCUUAUCCUUGAUUGCAUCUGUGCCCUACAAACCCCAACAGCGUUGAACUUACAUCUCCUCCUAAUUAGGGGAGAAAGGAAGACAAGAAUGAUAGCAGAAGAAUUUCUUCCUGCCUCUGACGGCAAGCUCUUCGGGGACAGAACGUUAAGCUCUCCCUCUGCCUGCCCGCCGCGUUCUCUCUCCUGACCUAUACCUGGAGAACCUAACACAGUGCCAGGCCCUCCCUGGGACCAGAGCCUGUGUGUGAUGUGAGUGAUGAACAGGGGCUGGGUGGAAAAGCCAGACCCUGCCUGGGGGCUUGUCUCUGUCUGCUGGUCUGCUGUGAGGCAGUGCAGAGCAGUGGCUGGUGGGGGGCGGCUGCAGUCUGGGAGGCCUCAAGCCAGACAUGUGGGGGCUGG